Molecule: ribosomal RNA, 1979 nt
Filed under: human gut metagenome
Description: bacterial LSU rRNA
Rfam family: Bacterial large subunit ribosomal RNA
Source: RNAcentral
UCAAGGAAGAAAGGGCGUACGGAGAAUGCCUGGGCACAGAGAGGCGAUGAAGGACGCAGCGAACAGCGAAAUGCGGCGGCGAGCGGUAAGCACGCGAUGACCCGCCGAUAUCCGAAUGGGGAAACCCCUCCGCUUUCGAAGCGGAGACCGCAUGACGACCGUCAUGACGGGGCAAUACGCAGGGAACUGAAACAUCUAAGUACCUGCAGGAGAAGAAAACAAACGUGAUUCCCCCAGUAGCGGCGAGCGACCGGGGAAAAGCCCAAACCGUUAUUGUUUCGGCAUUAACGGGGUAGUAGGACUGCAAGCUUGAUGAAAUAAAUGAAAUGGAACACCUUGGAAAAUGUGAUCACAGAGGGUGAUAAUCCCGUACAUGCAAGUUUAUGAAUCAUAGCAGUAUCCUGAGUAAGUCGGGACACGUGUAAUCCUGACCGAAUCCGCCGGGACCAUCCGGCAAGGCUAAAUACUCCUGAGAGACCGAUAGUGAACCAGUACCGUGAGGGAAAGGUGAAAAGCACUUCGAACAGAAGAGUGAAAUAGUCCCUGAACCCAUACGCCUACAAGCUGUCGGAGCCGCUUCGUGCGGUGACGGCGUGCCUUUUGCAUAAUGAGCCUACGAGUUACUCAUCACCAGCGAGGUUAAGUACUUCAGGUACGUAAGCCGAAGCGAAAGCGAGUCUGAAUAGGGCGUCAAGUUGGUGGUGGUAGACGCGAAACCUUAGUGAUCUACCCAUGGGCAGGGUGAAGGUUUGGUAACACAAACUGGAGGCCCGAACCGGUAAACGUUGAAAAGUUUUCGGAUGACCUGUGGGUAGGGGUGAAAGGCCAAUCAAGCUGGGAAAUAGCUCGUACUCCCCGAAAUGCAUUUAGGUGCAGCCUCUGUUGUUUUGUUCUAGAGGUAGAGCUACUGAUUGGAUGCGAGGGCUUCACCGCCUAUCAAAUCCGGCCAAACUCCGAAUGCUAGAACAUGAAGACAGGGAGUGAGCCAGCGGGUGCUAAGGUCCGUUGACGAAAGAGGGAGAACUCAGACCAUCAGCUAAGGUCCCCAAUUGUAUGCUAAGUUGGAAUUAAAACGGGGUGGGACUGCUUAGACAGCUAGGAUGUUGGCUUGGAAGCAGCCAUUCAUUUAAAGAGUGCGUAACAGCUCACUAGUCGAGCGGUCCUGCAUGGAUAAUACGCGGGCAUAAGCAUAUAACCGAAGCUAUGGGAUUGUAGAUGAUACAAUCGGUAGGAGAGCAUUCCAUUCAGCGUAGAAGCAGUAUCGUGAGGUAUUGUGGAGCGGAUGGAAAAGCAAAUGUAGGCAUAAGUAACGAUAAUGCGGGUGAGAACCCCGCACGCCGAAAGAUCAAGGAUUCCCCGGCAAUGUCAAUCAUCCGGGGGUAAGUCGGAUCCUAAGGGUAAGCCGAGUGGCGAUCCCGAUGGCAAACAGGUUAAUAUUCCUGUACUGAUCAUAACUGCGAUGCAGCGACGCAGAGGUGACACUGCUGCGUACUGACGGAAUAGUACGUUGAAACCCGUAUUCUUUGAUACCGGUAGUGAAGCACGCCGGUAGAGAUGAAAGGUGAUAGUACCGCAAUGCUUCGGUUGCGCGGAUAACGCAGGUAAGCUGACUGCCAAGAAAACCUGCUAAGCUUCAGGUAAUGAUCAUCCGUACUGUAAACGGACACACGUGAUCAGGUAGAAAAUACUAAGGCGCUCGAGAGAUUCAUGGUUAAGGAACUAGGCAAAAUGGUCCUGUAACUUCGGGAUAAAGGACGCUCUUGUGAAAGAGCCGCAGAUAAUAGGCCCAGGCGACUGUUUACCAAAAACACAUGGCUAUGCUAAUUCGCAAGAAGAUGUAUAUGGCCUGACACCUGCCCGGUGCCGGAAGGUUAAGAGGAGAGCUCAGAGGCAACUCGAAGGUUUGAAUUGAAGCCCCGGUAAACGGCGGCCGUAACUAUAACGGUCCUAAGGUAGCGAAAUUCCUUGUCGGGUAAGUU